RNAcentral lists this ribosomal RNA (253 nucleotides) under uncultured bacterium. RNAcentral describes it as "partial 16S ribosomal RNA". It matches the Rfam family "Bacterial small subunit ribosomal RNA", at positions 524 to 776 of the family's 1533-position model. The record is from RNAcentral.
UACAGAGGGGGCAAGCGUUGUUCGGAAUUACUGGGCGUAAAGCGUGCGUAGGCGGUUCGUUAAGUCAGCUGUGAAAGCCCCGGGCUCAACCUGGGAAUUGCGGUUGAAACUGGCGAACUAGAAUCUGGCAGAGGGGGGUGGAAUUCCACGUGUAGCAGUGAAAUGCGUAGAGAUCGGGAGGAACACCUGUGGCGAAGGCGGCCGACUGGGCCGACCCUGACGCUGAGGCGCGAAGGCGUGGGGAGCGAACGGG